UGGGGAAUAUUGCACAAUGGGGGAAACCCUGAUGCAGCGACGCCGCGUGGAGGAAGAAGGUCUUCGGAUUGUAAACUCCUGUCCCAGGGGACGAUAAUGACGGUACCUUCAAAGGAAGCACCGGCUAACUCCGUGCCAGCAGCCGCGGUAAUACGGAGGGUGCGAGCGUUAAUCGGAAUUACUGGGCGUAAAGCGCUCGUAGGUAGUAUAUCAAGUCAAGGGUGAAAUCCCCGCGCUCAACGUGGGAACUGCCUUUGAAACUGGUAGACUUGAGUGUGUGAGAGGAUAGUGGAAUUCCAGGUGUAGGAGUGAAAUCCGUAGAUAUCUGGAGGAACAUCAGUGGCGAAGGCGACUAUCUGGCACAUAACUGACACUGAGGAGCGAAAGCGUGGGUAGCAAACAGGAUUAGAUACC
Molecule: ribosomal RNA, 414 nt
Filed under: uncultured bacterium
Lineage: Bacteria
Description: bacterial SSU rRNA
Rfam family: Bacterial small subunit ribosomal RNA
Source: RNAcentral